This 265-nucleotide ribosomal RNA is filed under the name Abavorana sp. USMHC_1468. Its description in RNAcentral is "partial 16S ribosomal RNA". The stretch from base 1 to 141 matches the Rfam family "Bacterial large subunit ribosomal RNA", at positions 2502 to 2643 of the family's 2925-position model. The record is from RNAcentral. Lineage: Eukaryota; Metazoa; Chordata; Amphibia; Anura; Ranidae.
AUAUCGACAGUGGGUUUACGACCUCGAUGUUGGAUCAGGGUAUCCUAGUGGUGCAGUCGCUACUAAAGGUUCGUUUGUUCAACGAUUAAAACCCUACGUGAUCUGAGUUCAGACCGGAGUAAUCCAGGUCGGUUUCUAUCUAUAAAACGUUCCCCCUCGUACGAAAGGAUCGGGGUAACAUGGCCAAUGCAAAAAUAAGCCAUACUCUUCCACUAAUGAAUAAAUCUCAAUUAAAUAAGACCUGCUAUUCUUCCCCAGACUAGGG